GCCCAGGUGGUGAAAUUGGUAUACACGUACGCUUGAGGUGCGUAUGCCGGAAGGUGUGGAGGUUCAAGUCCUCUCCUGGGCAC
Molecule: transfer RNA, 83 nt
Filed under: Patescibacteria group bacterium
Lineage: Bacteria
Description: tRNA-Leu
Rfam family: tRNA
About the family: Transfer RNA (tRNA) molecules are approximately 80 nucleotides in length.
Source: RNAcentral